CAAACCUAAUUAGCCCCAUGAAUUCAAAAAAAUUUUUUUUAAAUAAUUUUAUUCUGUAAGUGCACAUGAAUAUUUUUAUAUAAAUUUCAACACAAUAACUAUUCUGUUUAAGAUCAAGAAACUAGGAAGUGAAGAGAGCUCUCCAGAACUGUACAUGUCAUUGUGACAUUACCAUUAAGGUGAAGUUAUUUAAACAUUAUUCUUUUUUCAUAUAAUAUCUUGUUUUGUUUGUGAAUUGUGUUGUCAUGGCGGCCGUCAACAAAUGUUUUCAUUUUGUCUUUUAUUGUCCAUUUAGUGCAUGCUUUUUAUAUUUUUUAAAAUUGUUUUCUUAAAGUUUACUUUCAUUCUUUUAGUAUAUAGUUAUUGUUUAAAUCUUUUGGUGAAAAAGUCUAAUUCUUUUAGUUUUAAAGUAUUAUUUUCAGAGGUUUCCAGUUAAAGACAGUCUUAUUUGGAAGUGAAAAAGAUCAAGAAACAAGGAAGUGAAGAGAGCUCUCCAGAACUGUACAUGUCAUUGUGACAUUACCAUUAAGGUGAAGUUAUUUAAACAUUAUUCUUUUUUCAUAUAAUAUCUUGUUUUGUUUGUGAAUUGUGUUGUCAUGGCGGCCGUCAACAAAUGUUUUCAUUUUGUCUUUUAUUGUCCAUUUAGUGCAUGCUUUUUAUAUUUUUAAAAAUUGUUUUCUUAAAGUUUACUUUCAUUCUUUUAGUAUAUAGUUAUUGUUUAAAUCUUUUGGUGAAAAAGUCUAAUUCUUUUAGUUUUAAAGUAUUAUUUUCAGAGGUUUCCAGUUAAAGACAGUCUUAUUUGGAAGUGAAAAAGAUCAAGAAACAAGGAAGUGAAGAGAGCUCUCCAGAACUGUACAUGUCAUUGUGACAUUACCAUUAAAGUGAAGUUAUUUAAACAUUAUUCUUUUUUCAUAUAAUAUCUUGUUUUGUUUGUGAAUUGUGUUGUCAUGGCAGCCGUCAACAAAUGUUUUCAUUUUGUCUUUUAUUGUCCAUUUAGUGCAUGCUUUUUAUAUUUUUAAAAAUUGUUUUCUUAAAGUUUACUUUCAUUCUUUUAGUAUAUAGUUUUUGUUUAAAUCUUUUGGUGAAAAAGUCUAAUUCUUUUAGUUUUAAAGUAUUAUUUUCAGAGGUUUCCAGUUUAAGACAGUCUUAUUUGGAAGUGAAAAAGAUCAAGAAACAAGGAAGUGAAGAGAGCUCUCCAGAACUGUACAUGUCAUUGUGACAUUACCAUUAAGGUGAAGUUAUUUAAACAUUAUUCUUUUUUCAUAUAAUAUCUUGUUUUGUUUGUGAAUUGUGUUGUCAUGGCGGCCGUCAACAAAUGUUUUCAUUUUGUCUUUUAUUGUCCAUUUAGUGCAUGCUUUUUAUAUUUUUAAAAAUUGUUUUCUUAAAGUUUACUUUCAUUCUUUUAGUAUAUAGUUUUUGUUUAAAUCUUUUGGUGAAAA
Molecule: long non-coding RNA, 1439 nt
Organism: Biomphalaria glabrata
Lineage: Eukaryota; Metazoa; Mollusca; Gastropoda; Planorbidae
Exons: 4
Source: RefSeq, a predicted model, not a curated record